Molecule: non-coding RNA, 97 nt
Organism: Mycena polygramma
Lineage: Eukaryota; Fungi; Basidiomycota; Agaricomycetes; Agaricales; Mycenaceae
Source: the annotation of a GenBank genome assembly
GGCUCGGUUGCGGAGGGUCCGCACCUGCUCUGCGUUGGCAUUUGGUAUGCUCAACAGAAUUCCGCAGGCGUCGCCCGUUCGACUCGGGUCCGAGCCA